GAUGAACGCUAGCUACAGGCUUAACACAUGCAAGUCGAGGGGAAACGGCAUUAAGUGCUUGCACUUUUUGGACGUCGACCGGCGCACGGGUGAGUAACGCGUAUCCAACCUUCCCAUGACUAAGGGAUAACCUGCCGAAAGGCAGACUAAUACCUUAUGGUCUUCACUGACGGCAUCAGAUGUGAAGUAAAGAUUUAUCGGUUAUGGAUGGGGAUGCGUCUGAUUAGCUUGUUGGCGGGGUAACGGCCCACCAAGGCAACGAUCAGUAGGGGUUCUGAGAGGAAGGUCCCCCACAUUGGAACUGAGACACGGUCCAAACUCCUACGGGAGGCAGCAGUGAGGAAUAUUGGUCAAUGGACGGAAGUCUGAACCAGCCAAGUAGCGUGCAGGAUGACGGCCCUAUGGGUUGUAAACUGCUUUUGUAUGGGGAUAAAGUUAGGGACGUGUCCCUAUUUGCAGGUACCAUACGAAUAAGGACCGGCUAAUUCCGUGCCAGCAGCCGCGGUAAUACGGAAGGUCCAGGCGUUAUCCGGAUUUAUUGGGUUUAAAGGGAGCGUAGGCUGGAGAUUAAGUGUGUUGUGAAAUGUAGACGCCCAACGUCUGAAUUGCAGCGCAUACUGGUUUCCUUGAGUACGCACAACGUUGGCGGAAUUCGUCGUGUAGCGGUGAAAUGCUUAGAUAUGACGAAGAACUCCGAUUGCGAAGGCAGCUGACGGGAGCGCAACUGACGCUUAAGCUCGAAGGUGCGGGUAUCAAACAGGAUUAGAUACCCUGGUAGUCC
Molecule: ribosomal RNA, 781 nt
Filed under: uncultured Prevotella sp.
Lineage: Bacteria; Pseudomonadati; Bacteroidota; Bacteroidia; Bacteroidales; Prevotellaceae
Description: bacterial SSU rRNA
Rfam family: Bacterial small subunit ribosomal RNA
Source: RNAcentral